RNAcentral lists this ribosomal RNA (483 nucleotides) under uncultured bacterium. RNAcentral describes it as "partial 16S ribosomal RNA". It matches the Rfam family "Bacterial small subunit ribosomal RNA", at positions 30 to 507 of the family's 1533-position model. The record is from RNAcentral.
AUUGAACGCUGGCGGCAUGCCUUACACAUGCAAGUCGAACGGCAGCACGGACUUCGGUCUGGUGGCGAGUGGCGAACGGGUGAGUAAUGUAUCGGAACGUACCUUUCAGUGGGGAUAACGUAGCGAAAGUUACGCUAAUACCGCAUAUUCUGUGAGCAGGAAAGCAGGGGAUCGAAAGACCUUGCGCUGAUUGAGCGGCCGAUAUCAGAUUAGCUAGUUGGUGGGGUAAAGGCCUACCAAGGCGACGAUCUGUAGCGGGUCUGAGAGGAUGAUCCGCCACACUGGAACUGAGACACGGUCCAGACUCCUACGGGAGGCAGCAGUGGGGAAUUUUGGACAAUGGGGGCAACCCUGAUCCAGCCAUGCCGCGUGAGUGAAGAAGGCCUUCGGGUUGUAAAGCUCUUUCGGCCGGGAAGAAAUCGCAUAGGCUAAUACCCUGUGUGGAUGACGGUACCGGAAGAAGAAGCACCGGCUAACUACGUG